Molecule: long non-coding RNA, 3056 nt
Organism: Mustela putorius furo (domestic ferret)
Lineage: Eukaryota; Metazoa; Chordata; Mammalia; Carnivora; Mustelidae
Source: Ensembl
AUGACGGCUGAGCUCCUGCAUACGAGACACUGGGCUUCGGAGCUGGCACCAAGUAAACUCUCCAUGGAAGUUUUUAUUAUUAUUAUUAUUAUCGUUAUUAUUGAUAUAUGCAGCUUGCUUACUGCACAUCGUUGUGAAGAGGGAGCUGCUGAUGUGCUCUGUGAAUGGGCAGAGCUCAGCUGGCGUGAGGAACGAUUGCUUCAGAGGAAAGGAAGGAAUUGUCCCAAGAAAUCUUCCCUUUGUUAAAAUGGACGCAAAGCUACACCGAAGAUGGGUUUCUCUUUCUAGCUGGGUAUCGCCAUUGAUCUGAAUGCCUUCGUCCAGCCUUUCCGUGCUCUGAUCUGUCGCGUCCGUCACGGACUUCUGACCUCCAGUGUCAGGAUCCAGGAGUGAAAAACCACUUGAGUUGAGAUGCUUCGUCGGACUUUUGGGAAGAGGCAGAGAACUCCAAGUUGGGAUGAAAUGCCCCUUCAAAGUGAGAAAAGACCGAAGGUCAUAGUUCUUGUUCGUGACUUUACCCUAAGUCCUAAAAGGAGAGGUGAUGUGUACGUUGCAAUUUCCGAUUCGACAGUCAUCAAUAUCUUACCCUUCUGUGGUGGCCUCCCUGACUUCAAUCUUGAUUGCUUUAAGGCUAACUAAUCACCAGCAAGCAGGGUAUGUGUGUGCGUGUGUGUGUGUGUGUGUGUGUGCGUGUUUAACAAACGAGGUCUCUUGUCUUUCCUGUGACUAUAGCCAUGACAUGGGAAGAGCCUUUAAUUAAAUGCAGCACUUAGCGCAACAAUUGUUUGCAUGUAGGAGGCCACAGAAAUGGAGACAGCUGGAAUGGAUAGUCCCUAAAUUGUAGGCUUUGUCAGGACUACAAGAUUCAUAAGCGGUCCUAAUAGCAUGAUAAGGUGUUAACCUCAGCAACAGAGCAAUUAUCUGUCCAGUGACUGACCGCCACUCUCUGUAGCCACUAGCCCGUGGCAGUUAAUUGAUUUACACUGUAUAGAAGUCAUAUAACAACAACAACAACAAAAAUGUCACAGAGACUUUAUGUUAAUUAAAAACUGAGAUUACAUUUCCCUAUGAGGUGAUGUGUUUGAGAUUUUCAUACCACCCAGAAAAGAUAGCCAACUAUUUGGUAAUAAGUUUUCUUUGCCUGAGACCCAAUAACCCCUCAUCCAUCGUGGUUCCUUCGGUGGCUGGAAGAGCUGCCCCGGCUGGAUAACACACUCGAGUUGUGUGACCUCGGACAAGUGUCCUCAUUGCUCUGAGCCUCCGUGGCUUCAUCUCCAAGGUGAGGAGUGAAUUCUAGACCAUCUCUGACCUCCAAGAUCUUUCUUGGUUCUGAGAGUCCGGGCUUCUCAGAGUCCGUGGGCUGUGUAGUGAGGAAAGAUGACACCAUUGAGCGGGAGUCAUAGUUCGGAGCAACUCAGCUCUUUCAUCUUCUACUUCUCAUUUCCAACUUGGAAGUUUAAUCUGCUUUCUGACCAUCCUGUUUAUUUAUAACUUUUUUUUUUAUAUGUGCACAGUGGAUUUUUUCCGGCCCCUUUGCUGUAUUUUUGCUAUACGAUAAAGCUAUUCAUUUCCAGAGAUUUAAAAAACCGUCUCAGCAUCUCUUUAAUGGGAAAUCCAAUGAAGAGAGUCUAGACAGGCCCUGCGGCAUCCGCUUACUUGGUGUGAUGUGGCACUGUAGGGAGAAGGGGCCUCCUGGGGCCUCUGUGGAUGGUGGAUAUGGGGGGUCUGCUCGUGUGGCCUCACCUAUGCCUGUGAGAGUGGACCCCAGUUUGUGUCCCUGGUUUCCCAGUCUAUGGAGCGGAUGCACUGGGUGGACUGUUCCCUCACGUCUCUUUCAGCAGCAGCUUUUGAUGACUCUCAUUCAUUCUGAGGAAAAGGAAUUUUCUUGAAAUUACAGCCUUUGAAGGUGUAUGAGUUUAGAGAGAGAAAGAGAGGCCCCGGAAGCCGUUUAUAGGAGCAGAGUCUGGCUGGGAAAGCCUAGCAUUUUGUGGAUGGCAAGUCAUGGUGUAGGGCCAUGAGUUACUCUUCAGUGAAAAGAAAAAUAGUGGUCAAGAUUAGUAGGCAAAGAAAGCAAAACGGUCGAUUCCAUUCUCUUGGUCUUGGAAUCUACCAUCCACUUGCCUGUCUUGGGGCUGCCUUUCCCUGACGUAAGCUCUCUUGGAAGUCGCCUCUGCUUGUAAGGUGAAGGGAGUGUGGCCACAAGGGACUGCUUUUACCCAGAGUCUUAGUUGUCACGCGUCAGCAGGCUUCCAGUGGAAGGUCUCAGGAACACGCAGGGGUCUGGGGAAACUGUUCCCAGCAUCCUGCACUUACAUUGACUUUGCCCAGUGACACACACGCCAAAGACCCCCGUCAUGGAAGGUCCCUGUAACUGUGACCACUUCAGAGUCACAUAGGCUCAGCUCACUGUUAAUCUUAGCAGAGAAGAAAAUUAAGAGUGUGCAGUAGCAAUCUAUCCACAUAAUUUCCAGACUCGGUUCUGGAGGCUGGUUCCUAGAAGCAGCGUAGAACCUGGAUCCAGCCUGCCUCAGUGCCGGUCCUGGCUCUACCUCGUGUCCACACAUUCAUGGGCAGGAUCCUUUGCUUUUCCAUGCCUCAGUUUCUCUCUUCUAGGGAGAAUAAUGACACUUUUCCCCUAAAGCUGUUCUGAGGAUUUAAGGAGUUAAUGGAUGGAAAGUUCUCAGGAAGUCCUGGUUGAAAAUUUUGCUGUGGUCAAUUCUGGACCAUCUAUGAGCAGGCUACGUAUGGGUAUGUUGUACAGCAGCAGAAGGCCCCGUACAUGUUGAACUCCAGUGCUGUUAGCCCGAGAAUGAAGCUCAAGAUAACUUGAACAAAGAGCCCUCCCUUUUCAUUUUGUACUGGAUUCCCCAAAUUCUGUAGCUACUUCUGUCCACAAGGCUGUGGUGCUAAAAUCUGAACUCUGUAUACUGUUGACCCCAAGAUGGCCAACCUUUGCAUUACCUUGUUGAGAAAGGUCAGAUUUUCCCUUAAAAGAAUUUGGCUCAGACUUGAGCUAAAGUACAUAUUUUAUGCACAUUUGUGUGGGGUCAGUGAUU